Molecule: ribosomal RNA, 253 nt
Filed under: uncultured bacterium
Lineage: Bacteria
Description: partial 16S ribosomal RNA
Rfam family: Bacterial small subunit ribosomal RNA
Source: RNAcentral
UACGUAGGGGGCAAGCGUUGUUCGGAAUUACUGGGCGUAAAGCGCGUGUAGGCGGCUGUGCAAGUCGGAUGUGAAAUCCCGUGGCUCAACCACGGAAGUGCACCCGAAACUGCGCAGCUGGAGUCUCGGAGAGGAAGGUGGAAUGCUUGGUGUAGAGGUGAAAUUCGUAGAUAUCAAGCGGAACACCGGUGGCGAAGGCGGCCUUCUGGACGAUGACUGACGCUGAGACGCGAAAGCGUGGGGAGCAAACAGG